AUGUCGGUGGUAAAAGAACUUAAGUUGUCAUAUGUACUUUUAUUACGCCGAAAACCAUAUUGAGAUGAAGAAAGCAGGCAGUUACUUUCAACGAACCACUCCAGGCGGUUUUUGACUAAAUGUUCAAUUAUUUUUAGAAGAACAGACGAGAGGGCUAUUGGACGAUAUGAAGAUGAGAGGGAAGGAUCUUUGUUUGGUUUCAAAAUGGGUAACACUAGUUGACAUUUCCACUCUGAUGGAAUAUUGCCAGAUUCAAAAAUUGAGUUAAUGAUUCUAAGAUAAACUGAUAAACUGUUUUCGUUUAGAUGAGAAAUAAAUGAAUAAUAAAUACCAUCAGGCCCAGGAGAGGAAUCCGAUACAUACGAAAGUACAUUUUUUAAUUCGGCCAUGGUAAAGGAGGAAUUUAAUUCUGAAGACUCUUCAUUUUCAUCUAUUGUACUAUUGUUAUGAAAUAGGUUAGGAAGAUUGACUGUAGGAGGAGCAAGCUUGUCAAGAAAAUCAUUUGCAAUAGAACUAGGAAGAGAAACAGAAUGAGAAGUAUUGUAUGCAGAUUUGAACCUCCUAAUAUUUUGCCAAACAACAGUUGGAGGAGAAUUCGGGGACAGAGAGGAGCAAAAUUUUUGCCAACUUUCAGAUUUUUUCUUUUUGAAAACCUUCUUUCUCCUUUUUACAGCUUCCGUACACUCUUUAUCCCACCACGGUGGGCUGGGAAUGGAAGAUGAUUCAUUUUUUAUUGGAAAAACUUCAUUAGCACUUUCUAUCAAGACAUCUGUAAAAACGAGAGCAUCAAUAGAGUCAUCUUCAUUUGGAAAUAUCUGUGACAGUUUUACAUCAACUUUACUACUGAAUUUCUUCCAACAUUUAUCGGUGACAUUAUUAAGGUUAUACCUGGGAAAUAAUCUGACAUUUUGAAUAGGAGCCUGAGAAUUAUCAAAAGGAGAGGUAGUUAAUAUGGGGAAGUGAUCGCUUCCAAAAGUGGAUGAUAGAACCGAAGAUGUUAAUUGUGUUACAAACUGUGAGGAGCAAAUAGUCAAAUCAACAACGCUUUUGCCUUCUGUUGGACUAGUGCGCCUUGUGGGCUCACCAGAAUUUAUAACACAUAGAUUAUUCAGAUCUAAAACACUUAGCAGCUUGUUACCAUAACUAUUAGUAAUGGAGCUUCCCCAUGACUGGUGAUGACAAUUAAAGUCACCUGUUAUAAUUAAAGGUCUUGGUAAAGAGCUUAAAAUGUUAUUAAAUUCAUUUAAAAUAUUAAUAGAGGCAUGGGAAAUAUAUACAGAGACAAAACAUAUAUUAUUUACACUAAUUGCUAUAAUAGAUAGCUCUGAACUAUGUACAGGGAUAUCAAUAAGGCUAAAAGGGUAGUUUUUCUCAAGGAGAAAGGCUACACCACCAUAGCCGUCUAACCUAUCUUCUCUAAUUGUAUUAUAAUUCUUAAAUCUAAAAGUAUUACUUGGCCUAAGCCAAGUUUCUGAGAAAGAAAAUAAAAAAGGAUUAUAAUUUCUUAAUAAAUAAGCUAUGUCACUUUUUUUAUUAACUACACUUCGAGCGUUCCACUGAAUGAUCUGGGCCAUAUUGUAGAAUAUUAAUUAUACAUUGAAUUAAAGGGGCAACGAUGGACGGUAUAUUAUCGUUCUGUGAGUGGGUUUGUAAUAAUGAUAUUACAUCUGUAAGUGAAGAAAGUUCAUUCUUGUAAUUGUUUAUUAUACCUUUAUUGUAUUCAUGUA
Molecule: long non-coding RNA, 1727 nt
Organism: Aricia agestis (brown argus)
Lineage: Eukaryota; Metazoa; Arthropoda; Insecta; Lepidoptera; Lycaenidae
Exons: 2
Source: RefSeq, a predicted model, not a curated record